Molecule: ribosomal RNA, 231 nt
Filed under: uncultured bacterium
Lineage: Bacteria
Description: partial 16S ribosomal RNA
Rfam family: Bacterial small subunit ribosomal RNA
Source: RNAcentral
CCGGAUUUACUGGGUGUAAAGGGAGCGUAGACGGCAGCACAAGUCUGGAGUGAAAUGCCGGGGCUCAACUUUGGGACUGCUUUUGAAACUGAGUAGCUAGAGUGCAGGAGAGGUAAGCGGAAUUCCUAGUGUAGCGGUGAAAUGCGUAGAUAUUAGGAGGAACACCAGUGGCGAAGGCGGCUUACUGGACUGUAACUGACGUUGAGGCUCGAAAGCGUGGGGAGCAAACAG